GACGAACGCUGGCGGCGUGCUUAACACAUGCAAGUCGAACGGAAAGGCCCUGCUUUUGUGGGGUGCUCGAGUGGCGAACGGGUGAGUAACACGUGAGUAAACUGCACUUGACUUUGGGAUAACUUCAGGAAACUGGGGCUAAUACAGGAUAGGAGCUCCUGCUGCAUGGUGGGGGUUGGAAAGAUUCGGCGGUUGGGGAUGGAAUCGCGGGUUAUCAGCUGGUUGGUGGGGUAGUGGCUUACCAAGCGUUUGACGGGUAGCCGGCCUGAGAGGGUGACCGGCCACAUUGGGACUGAGAUACGGCGCAGACUCCUACGGGAGGCAGCAGUGGGGAAUAUUGCACAAUGGGCGGAAGCCUGAUGCAGCAACGCCGCGUGCGGGAUGACGGCCUUCGGGUUGUAAACCGCUGUCGCCUGUGACGAAGCGUGAGUGACGGUAAUGGGUAAAGAAGCACCGGCUAACUACGUG
RNAcentral lists this ribosomal RNA (468 nucleotides) under uncultured bacterium. Its description in RNAcentral is "partial 16S ribosomal RNA". It matches the Rfam family "Bacterial small subunit ribosomal RNA", at positions 28 to 507 of the family's 1533-position model. The record is from RNAcentral.